UUCCCAGGGGGGCCUCGCUAGGAGGCUGAGAUUCCGCCGGCUGGGCUUUCGAGCCUUAAGCAACGCGGUGACCCUCCGAACCUGAUCCGGAUCAUACCGGCGUAGGGAUGCGG
RNAcentral lists this non-coding RNA (113 nucleotides) under uncultured Allobosea sp. RNAcentral describes it as "TPP riboswitch (THI element)". It matches the Rfam family "TPP riboswitch aptamer (THI element)", at positions 9 to 90 of the family's 105-position model. Rfam says of the family: Vitamin B(1) in its active form thiamin pyrophosphate (TPP) is an essential coenzyme that is synthesised by coupling of pyrimidine and thiazole moieties in bacteria. The previously detected thiamin-regulatory element, thi box was extended, resulting in a new, highly conserved RNA secondary structure, the THI element, which is widely distributed in eubacteria and also occurs in some archaea. The record is from RNAcentral. Lineage: Bacteria; Pseudomonadati; Pseudomonadota; Alphaproteobacteria; Hyphomicrobiales; Alloboseaceae.